Molecule: ribosomal RNA, 253 nt
Filed under: uncultured bacterium
Lineage: Bacteria
Description: partial 16S ribosomal RNA
Rfam family: Bacterial small subunit ribosomal RNA
Source: RNAcentral
UACGGAGGAUCCAAGCGUUAUCCGGAUUUAUUGGGCUUAAAGGGUGCGUAGGCGGCCUAUUAAGUCAGGGGUGAAAGACGGUAGCUUAACUAUCGCAGUGCCUUUGAUACUGAUGGGCUUGAAUGUACUUGAGGUAGGCGGAAUGUGACGAGUAGCGGUGAAAUGCAUAGAUAUGUCACAGAACACCAAUUGCGAAGGCAGCUUACUAAAGUAUGAUUGACGCUGAGGCACGAAAGCGUGGGGAUCAAACAGG